RNAcentral lists this ribosomal RNA (411 nucleotides) under Drosophila melanogaster (fruit fly). RNAcentral's name for it is "partial 12S ribosomal RNA". The record is from RNAcentral. Lineage: Eukaryota; Metazoa; Arthropoda; Insecta; Diptera; Drosophilidae.
AAAUGGUUUGUCCUUUAUUAAAAGCUAAUAAUUGCUAAAGUAGUAAUAGUUAUGUUCUUGAACUUAAAAAAUUUGGCGGUAUUUUAGUCUAUCUAGAGUAACCUGUUUUUUAAUCGAUAAUCCACGAUGGACCUUACUUAAAUUUGUAAUCAGUUUAUAUACCGUCGUUAUCAGAAUAUUUUAUAAGAAUAAUAAUAUUCAAUAAUUUUAAUAAAAAUUUAUAUCAGAUCAAGGUGUAGCUUAUAUUUAAGUAAUAAUGGGUUACAAUAAAUUUAUUUAUAUGAAUAAAAUUAUGAAAAAAUUUUUGAAAGUGGAUUUAGUAGUAAAAUUAUAAAGAUUAAUAAUUUGAUUUAGCUCUAAAUAUGUACACAUCGCCCGUCGCUCUUAUAUUAAGGAAGAAAUCGUACUAUA